GAUCAUGGCUCAGGAUGAACGCUGGCGGCGUGCUUAACACAUGCAAGUCGAACGAAGCGAUUUUGCGGAAGUUUUCGGAUGGAAGCAGAAUUGACUGAGUGGCGGACGGGUGAGUAACGCGUGGGUAACCUGCCCCAUACAGGGGGAUAACAGUUAGAAAUGACUGCUAAUACCGCAUAAGCGCACGAGAUCGCAUGAUUUUGUGUGAAAAGCCGAGACGGUAUGGGAUGGGCCCGCG
RNAcentral lists this ribosomal RNA (238 nucleotides) under uncultured bacterium. RNAcentral's name for it is "partial 16S ribosomal RNA". It matches the Rfam family "Bacterial small subunit ribosomal RNA", at positions 15 to 235 of the family's 1533-position model. The record is from RNAcentral.